GUAUAUAUUAAAUAGGCACAACAUUCUAUUAACAUACAUUGGGGGUAAAUGAAGCAACAUAGACCCUGGAGGGUCUACAAAAAGUGCACAGGUGGAGAUAUAAAGAUGACAAGGCGUGCACAUGCUCCCUAGAGAACCAGCAACAACCCAUCAGGUUUAUUUCAAUAAUGAUCCUUCCGCAGGUUCACCUACGGAAA
Molecule: unclassified non-coding RNA, 197 nt
Filed under: uncultured fungus
Lineage: Eukaryota; Fungi
Description: sequence contains ITS1
Source: RNAcentral